AAGGAAUAUUGGUCAAUGGUGGAAACACUGAACCAGCCAUGCCGCGUGGAGGAAUAAGGUCCUACGGAUUGUAAACUCCUUUUGACGAGGAAGAAAGUGUUAGAUUUAUCUAAUUUUGACGGUACUCGUAGAAUAAGCACCGGCUAACUCCGUGCCAGCAGCCGCGGUAAUACGGAGGGUGCAAGCGUUAUCCGGAUUUACUGGGUUUAAAGGGUCCGCAGGUGGGGAGGUAAGUCAGUGGUGAAAUACCCGGGCUCAACUUGGGUGCUGCCAUUGAUACUGCUUUUCUUGAGUGUAGAUGAGGUGGGCGGAAUACAGCAUGUAGCGGUGAAAUGCGUAGAUAUGCUGUAGAACACCGAUUGCGAAGGCAGCUCACUAAACUACUACUGACACUCAGGGACGAAAGCGUGGGGAUCAAAC
Molecule: ribosomal RNA, 420 nt
Filed under: uncultured bacterium
Lineage: Bacteria
Description: bacterial SSU rRNA
Rfam family: Bacterial small subunit ribosomal RNA
Source: RNAcentral